ACGGGGGGGGCAAGCGUUGUUCGGAAUUACUGGGCGUAAAGGGCUCGUAGGUGGCCAACUAAAUCAGGCGUGAAAUCCCCAGGCUCAACCUGGGAACUGCGUCUGAUACUGGAUGGCUUGAAUUCGGGAGAGGGAUGCAGAAUUCCAGGUGUAGCGGUGAAAUGCGUAGAUAUCUGGAGGAACACCGGUGGCGAAGGCGGCAUCCUGGACCGACAUUGACGCUGAGGCGCGAAAGCCAGGGGAGCAAACGGGA
This 253-nucleotide ribosomal RNA is filed under the name uncultured prokaryote. Its description in RNAcentral is "partial 16S ribosomal RNA". It matches the Rfam family "Bacterial small subunit ribosomal RNA", at positions 525 to 777 of the family's 1533-position model. The record is from RNAcentral.